AAUUUAACGCAAUGUUAGUACAAAUAGCCCGUCGCCUUUGCUAAGCAAAACAAAGCAGAGUUAGUACAAAUAGCCCGUCGUCAAUUUAUGUUUAAUACAAUAAAUUUAAUCCUAAAAAGGUUGAAGUCAGGUAUUAUUGCCCUUAUGUUUUGGGGUUUGAUGCGUUAUAUUUUUUUAAUAAAAAAAAGAGAGUCCGGAUUGGCCCCGAACGGGGCCAUUGAAAAGCAGAGCGUUUCAUUGGCCCCGAACGGGGCUAUUGAAAAGCAGAGCGUUUCAAUGAAUUUAACGCAAUGUUAGUACAAAUAGCCCGUCGCCUUUGCUAAAGAAAACAAAGCAGAGUAAGUCGUAACAAGGUGAGGGUGAGGGAACUGGCCCUUG
RNAcentral lists this ribosomal RNA (378 nucleotides) under Heterocyathus sulcatus. RNAcentral describes it as "12S ribosomal RNA". Lineage: Eukaryota; Metazoa; Cnidaria; Anthozoa; Scleractinia; Caryophylliidae. The record is from RNAcentral.